GAAAUAGAGCUAUAUAGACAUCUAUAUAUUAGAUGGUGUGUAAACAAACUAUAGAUUCAGAUACAUAAAGGCAUCUUUGUUAAUGUUUAGAAAAAUAUUGGGUCAUUUCUAUUCUUAAAAAUACACGUACUGAAAACGUACACAAGAGGUACCUGAUCCCCCAGGGCAAUAUCAUUAAAUGGGAACUGUCUCAUCCUCAGAGAGAGUGGAGAGCAGAGUUGGAAACUUUGUGAGGAUGGGGCCAGUGUACUCAGACAUGCAGAAGAACAUGUGAUAAUUUACUGUCCCACGAGGGAGUGACAGUUCUGCACCAACACAGAACGGAGAACCAAGCCUCAUCCCGCACAUGCGGACAUAAUGGAGACUUCUUUUCUAGUCAAAGGAGAUAGAGGCCCAAGGAAACUGCAUGGCAAGCCCAGACCUUGGAGAAAAGUUAGAUGAGAACAGGAUUCGGAAGCUGGAAUUCCAUAAGGUCAUCUUACGUACCAUCACAAGUCCCAUUCUGGAAGCCAGAAUAGUGCUCUGUGUUUAAGAAACUCCGUGUUCCCUUCCAGCCGUCACCUUGCGCUGAGCUGCACUCAGUUAAAAGGUGUCUCUGGAAUGCAGGCUCUGAGGCAUUAGCUACGGACUGUCAUCUUUGGUGAAAUACAUGCAGAAUGUAUGAUUGGCCUUCUUCCAUUGAAGUUCAAGGCCCCUGCUGAAACAACACUGCCCAGACCAAUUUCAGAGUCCCUUCAAGUUUGCUUUAUAAACUGUCACAUCAAAGAAAAAUAGACAACUCAGCUGAAAAUAAAGUCAAAGCUGGCCUGGAACAUGGAUAUGGACUCGGAAGGUCAAGUUGAUAUUAAGCCAGCAGAUGAGUUUGGUUUCUGGAGCGCAAAGAUAAGGAAACAGAAGCUCUGAGAGGUUAAGUGACUUGUUCAAAAACAAUGAAGCUGGUUGAUCUGCUGGUCCUCUCCACUAGCCAGAAGCAACUGUAAGCCUGAGGGUAAGGAGUAUGGGGAAACAGCUCAUAUAUCUCAUUUUCCUGCCCAGAGCAGAAUGGAGAGAGGUGGACAGUGGAUCAAGCCGUCUUAUUACCAUCAUGAGGCUGCCUCCUUUGAUGCUUUCUAAUGACCCUCUGAACCGUCUGCUCGGCUCACCCUCUGCUUUCAAGUGAAAGCACAGGCCUCUCUGCCCCCUCGCUGCUGACGGAGCGGCCGUGGACGAGACCGGGCCGUGGAGACCAGCAGAGCCUUGUCCAGGGUCAGCAGUGCUACACUUGCUGUGCUUUUCCUCUUGUCCUUUGCUUUCCUUUGAGCAUCUUCAGCAUCAAAGCUUGUCUCCUCUUUCCAAGAUUCCAAAUAAAGCCGAGGCGGUGAAACGAGAGGCUGUGCUCCAAACUCCCACCCAAGGCCACCAUCCGGGUCAAGGGCUUUCUGACUUCAUUCUCUGGGAAGGAAAUUCUCGCCUAUUUGAAACCUCUCCCUUCCAUCCAGAAAUGGGUAUCUUUGAUAAUGGCA
Molecule: long non-coding RNA, 1502 nt
Organism: Bubalus bubalis (water buffalo)
Lineage: Eukaryota; Metazoa; Chordata; Mammalia; Artiodactyla; Bovidae
Exons: 6
Source: RefSeq, a predicted model, not a curated record